GGAUUAGAUACCCUGGUAGUCCACGCCCUAAACGAUGUCAACUAGUUGUUGGGAAUUAACUUUCUCAGUAACGAAGCUAACGCGUGAAGUUGACCGCCUGGGGAGUACGGCCGCAAGGUUGGAACUCAAAGGAAUUGACGGGGACCCGCACAAGCGGUGGAUGACGUGGUUUAAUUCGAUGCAACGCGAAAAACCUUACCCACCUUUGACAUGGCAGGAACUUUCCAGAGAUGGAUUGGUGCUCGAAAGAGAACCUGCACACAGGUGCUGCAUGGCUGUCGUCAGCUCGUGUCGUGAGAUGUUGGGUUAAGUCCCGCAACGAGCGCAACCCUUGCCAUUAGUUGCUACGAAAGGGCACUCUAAUGGGACUGCCGGUGACAAACCGGAGGAAGGUGGGGAUGACGUCAAGUCCUCAUGGCCCUUAUAGGUGGGGCUACACACGUCAUACAAUGGCUGGUACAAAGGGUUGCCAACCCGCGAGGGGGAGCUAAUCCCAUAAAGCCAGUCGUAGUCCGGAUCGCAGUCUGCAACUCGACUGCGUGAAGUCGGAAUCGCUAGUAAUCGUGGAUCAGAAUGUCACGGUGAAUACGUUCCCGGGUCUUGUACACACCGCCCGUCACACCAUGGGAGCGGGUCUCGCCAGAAGUAGGUAGCCUAACCGCAAGGAGGGUGCUUACCACGGCGGGGUUCGUGACUGGGGUGAAGUCGUAACAAGGUAGC
Molecule: ribosomal RNA, 720 nt
Filed under: uncultured Comamonas sp.
Lineage: Bacteria; Pseudomonadati; Pseudomonadota; Betaproteobacteria; Burkholderiales; Comamonadaceae
Description: bacterial SSU rRNA
Rfam family: Bacterial small subunit ribosomal RNA
Source: RNAcentral